GGCGCCGUGGCUAAGUUGGUUAAAGCGCCUGUCCAGUAAACAGGAGAUCACGAGUUCGAAUCUCGUCGGUGCCU
Non-coding RNA from Trichonephila clavipes, 74 nucleotides. The record is from the annotation of a GenBank genome assembly. Lineage: Eukaryota; Metazoa; Arthropoda; Arachnida; Araneae; Nephilidae.